This 253-nucleotide ribosomal RNA is filed under the name uncultured bacterium. RNAcentral describes it as "partial 16S ribosomal RNA". It matches the Rfam family "Bacterial small subunit ribosomal RNA", at positions 524 to 776 of the family's 1533-position model. The record is from RNAcentral.
UACGUAGGGAGCUAGCGUUGUUCGGAAUUACUGGGCGUAAAGGGCGCGUAAGCGGCUCGACAAGUUGGAUGUGAAAGCCCUGGGCUCAACCCGGGAAUUGCAUUCAAGACUGUCUUGCUCGAAUUCGGUAGAGGUUGGUGGAAUUCCCAGUGUAGAGGUGAAAUUCGUAGAGAUUGGGAGGAACACCCGUGGCGAUGGCGGCCAACUGGACCGACAUUGACGCUGAGGCGCGAAAGCGUGGGGAUCAAACAGG